UACGUAGGGACCGAGCGUUGUCCGGAUUCAUUGGGCGUAAAGAGCUCGUAGGCGGCUAUUCAAGUCGAACGUGAAAUCUCGGAGCUCAACUCCGAAACUGCGUUCGAUACUGGGUAGCUAGAGUCUGGUAGGGGGAUCUGGAAUUCCUGGUGUAGCGGUGGAAUGCGCAGAUAUCAGGAGGAACACCGGUGGCGAAGGCGGGAUCCUGGGCCAGUACUGACGCUGAGGAGCGAAAGCGUGGGGAGCGAACAGG
This 253-nucleotide ribosomal RNA is filed under the name uncultured bacterium. Its description in RNAcentral is "partial 16S ribosomal RNA". It matches the Rfam family "Bacterial small subunit ribosomal RNA", at positions 524 to 776 of the family's 1533-position model. The record is from RNAcentral.